UAGGGAAUCUUCGGCAAUGGGGGCAACCCUGACCGAGCAACGCCGCGUGAGUGAAGAAGGUUUUCGGAUCGUAAAGCUCUGUUGUCAGAGAAGAACGUGUGUGUGCGUGGAAAGUUCACACAGUGACGGUAACUUACCAGAAAGGGACGGCUAACUACGUGCCAGCAGCCGCGGUAAUACGUUGGUCCCGAGCGUUUUCUGGAUUUAUUGGGCGUAAAGCGAGCGCAGGCGGUUUAAUAAGUCUGAAGUUAAAGGCAGUGGCUUAACCCUAGAUCGCAUUGGAAACUGUUAAACUUGAGUGCAGAAGGGGAGAGUGGAAUUCCAUGUGUAGCGGUGAAAUGCGUAGAUAUAUGGAGGAACAACGGUGGCGAAAGCGGCUCUCUGGUCUGUAACUGACGCUGAGGCUCGAAAGCGUGGGGAGCAAACAGG
Molecule: ribosomal RNA, 429 nt
Filed under: bacterium
Lineage: Bacteria
Description: partial 16S ribosomal RNA
Rfam family: Bacterial small subunit ribosomal RNA
Source: RNAcentral